AUUUAUUCAAUUUAUAUACUUCAAGUUCUGCUAGUUUUUUCUGUAGCAAAUAAAUCUCAUAUAAUAAUACAUUUACAUAUAUUUUUUACAUUUUCUUCGCCAACUUUUUGUACUGGCGGGAUAUCCCACUACCAGUAAACGCCUCUUUUUUUUACGACUCCGGCUCACUCGCACGUCUCCGCCCACUUCCCCGAUCGCUGCGAUUGAAACAGAUCUUUGGUUUUGCCUUUGCUGACUGCUGAUCUGAUCGUCUCAAGUCUGGUGACCUGCUGCAGAAGCUCUCUCCCUCUAUCAUUAACAAGCCAUUCAGUCUGUCCUAUCACUCUACCCACUCUAUCUAUUUUGACAAGACGUUCUAUCUUGCUUCACUCUAUCCCACAAGCUCUAUCUAAGUUAUCAAAAAUCACGUUUUUAACUGGAAUCAAAUUUUGACUGGAAUCAAGUUUUGACUGGAAUAAUCAAGUUUUGACAUGGCCCCAAUUUUGGGAAAUUGAAGUUACCAGUACUUCAUCUAUCUGUUACAGAAUUCUGAGAGAUCUCUGCUCUCACUGCUCCUUCUUUCCUUUCGUUAAACUCUCUCACAUCCAGUCUUUUUGCUGGAAAUUACAAGUAGAAAGUUGAAAUUACAAUAGUAGAAUUACAGUACAGUAGAAACUAUUUACACAGCUGUAGACUUGUAAUUUUAAUUUUUACUUGGAAUACUUUGGAAUAAACACUGAUAGUUUGGCUUAGAGGUGCAAUUACUUUGAUACAUUAUAUAAAAUUUACACCUUCUUUAAGGUUUUUUGUAAUAAGAUAAACUUGUUAUUUUAUACGACACAUUCAGACUGUUGUAUUCACAAAAAUAUUAAAUUGCAUAACUUCAGAUACAUUUUGCUAGUCCGUUUCAUUGUCAGUAACAUUUGACUAUAGUAGGGUUAUACUAUUCUUAUUUAGGGACAAACCCAUUUCUGUUACUCAGUGUAAGUGUUCAGACACAAUUGUCAUCGAGAAGCUGCCCUGAGGACCCAGACUUCCUGUUUCCUGACUGCUGCAGAACAUCCAGCUGAAGAAUCCUCAUUGCCUGUCAUCUGAUCACCACAUCACCACAGCUGUUUAUAUUUGCUUUACAUUUUAGAUAUCUGAAAGAUUUACACAAAGUCUACUUAAAAACUAAGAGUUUUAUUAUAGCCUGUUGAUUAUUGUGAUUUAUUCUAUACAUCCCUUUACAGAAGCUAAGAUCUAGUCAUUAACAAGUGUGGUUAAAGUAUCAGAAGUAAAAAUAUUGUGUUUUGGAAAAAGCUACAAUAAAACUGAGCAAAGUGUUUUCAAAGAACUGAAUAUCUUUUAUAUUGAGUUUGGAUUAAAGUCAACCUUUUACAUCUAUUUACAUAUUUAUAAAAACAUUGGAACAUUUUAUAUUAUAUUUACAUUUUUUCAGAUUUAAUACUAACUUGAGUAAUUCUUCACUGUUUCCAGGUUGAGCUCUGUUUAUAUCUUUGUAUAUAAGCU
Oreochromis niloticus (Nile tilapia) is the source of this 1491-nucleotide long non-coding RNA. The record is from Ensembl. Lineage: Eukaryota; Metazoa; Chordata; Actinopteri; Cichliformes; Cichlidae.